Molecule: ribosomal RNA, 467 nt
Filed under: uncultured bacterium
Lineage: Bacteria
Description: partial 16S ribosomal RNA
Rfam family: Bacterial small subunit ribosomal RNA
Source: RNAcentral
GACGAACGCUGGCGGCGUGCUUAACACAUGCAAGUCGAACGGAAAGGCCCUGCUUUUGUGGGGUGCUCGAGUGGCGAACGGGUGAGUAACACGUGAGUAACCUGCCCUUGACUUUGGGAUAACUUCAGGAAACUGGGGCUAAUACCGGAUAGGAGCUCCUGCUGCAUGGUGGGGGUUGGAAAGUUUCGGCGGUUGGGGAUGGACUCGCGGCUUAUCAGCUUGUUGGUGGGGUAGUGGCUUACCAAGGCUUUGACGGGUAGCCGGCCUGAGAGGGUGACCGGCCACAUUGGGGGUGUGAGACGGCCCCCACCCCUCCGGGGGAGCACGCUGGGGGAUAUUGCAACCAGGGCGCAAGCGUCAUGCGGCAACCCCCCGUGCGGAGUUACGACCCUCGGGGUUUGAACCCCUUUCUCCUUGGACAAGACGCGAGGAACGGUUAUGGGUAAAAAGCACCCGGCAACCCUCUU